UCCCUGUCCUGCACUGCAAAGGAGGCCUUUUCAUCCUCUCUACUGCCUCCAAUUUUUCUCACGAGGAAUGUGAGAGGAAAACCUAGAGCUUGUUCCUGAAGCAUGGUGCUAAGUCCAUAUGCAGCAGAUGGAGCUCAUGAGAAAAGAGUUGCUCUUGUGAAGACCAAAGCUUGGUGAGGUGUCAGAUCCCCGGCGAUGGAAAGCAGUCAACUCAUGGGUAGUAAAAAGAAUGUAUUGACAACACUAUAGGUUUGAAAAGGAAAGUUUUAUUAGAUGGAAAGAACAGUGCAGAAGACCGCAGCAGAGGACCUCAGCAAGAGAGAACUAAAAAUGGUCAAUUACAAAGCACAACAUAAGACUGGAACAUUGGAGUUAAGUAGCAGAGAUCAAAAAAAAAGCAUUCCCAGAAGCACGGAGAAGUGAGGAGAAAAGGCAAUGCACCUGGAGCUGGAGACCAAGGCCCUGUUCUUACUGAUGGCCCUUGGAGCAGAUAUUUGAAUUGGAGAGAUAAAACCGUGGUUUUUGGGGUGUUAAUUUUGGUGGCUGAUGCAUUCUGUGAUUGAUUUGGCUAUUACAACUGGUAUUGAUUUUAAACACAUUAAUUGCAAAAUCUCAAUUGUGAUUUGAUUUCUGUAUUUACAAUACUAAAAACGAGGCUUUCGCCAGGAGAAGACAAUUGGCAGUACUCAGUUGGAAGUGCUUAAUUGUUAAUAUAUAUCAGCCGUGGUUCUUCAGCGUCGUCAGUGUUGCUCAGUCUUGCUCUUUGUGGCGACUACUGAAUGCUUGAAAAAUUCUCUCCUAUACUCCCACUCUGCACUGUAGAAGAGAAAGAGAGGAGAGUGGAAGAAAAAAGAGAGGGAGAGGAGAAAGAAAGAGAGGAGAGAGAAACAUGGGCAUGGAUGAUACAUAAGGUAGUUGUAAACUGUGAUCAGCUUUGAUAAUAACUAGAUAAAUUCUUUUAAUACAAAAAUAUAUAAGGCAUUUUGCCUUUUUUUCAAAUUUCAAAUAAAUGGAUUUGUAUAGAAUGUAGUCUGUUGCCCAGAGUUUUCAUUUAGCAUAAUGCAUUUGAGAUUUAUCCAUGUUGUUGUAUAUUCUUUUUAUUGCUGAGUAGUAUUCCAUUGUGUGGAUAUACCAGUUUGUUUAUCCAUUAACCUUUGAUGGAUAUUUGGGUUUUUUUCAAUAUGAGGCUCUUAUAAAUAAACCUUCUGUAAUCAGG
This 1216-nucleotide long non-coding RNA is filed under the name Homo sapiens (human). Its description in RNAcentral is "novel transcript". The record is from RNAcentral. Lineage: Eukaryota; Metazoa; Chordata; Mammalia; Primates; Hominidae.